This is a long non-coding RNA of Toxorhynchites rutilus septentrionalis, 848 nucleotides long. RefSeq lists it as uncharacterized. The record is from RefSeq and is a predicted model, not a curated record. NCBI's taxonomy places the organism in Eukaryota, Metazoa, Arthropoda, Insecta, Diptera, Culicidae. The transcript is spliced from 3 exons.
UGGAGUUUGUGGAAUAGAUAGGUUUUUACUUUAUGAAUCUGGAACGAACGGAUUGCUACCGGCGGCAUUCCUGAACGCAAUUGGGUCCAACACGGAAGCUAAACUAGUUCAUAUGCAUCCGGACAACGUUGCCCAGAAGCAGGCACAACAAGCAAUGAAUUUCGAUACGGAACAACUGAGCAGAUGCAUAUCAGUGAAAGUUUAUUCCGUUCUGAGACAUUUCUACCAACGAAGUAAGGACACGAACGGUAUUGAAUUGAAUGAUGCUAAGCCAGAUCAACAGUGUGGGGAGACUGACGGUGUAAAUUCGCCACAGGUGGAAAUUAAUCACAAACGCAAGAUGUGACAUUAUCAGAUUCUCCCAAAGUGGUUUCUUACCAGCUAUGAAUACACCCGUUCGGAUGAUGUGGCUUUUUUGCUUCCAUCAACUGCAGUCAACAGCAUCGGCUUUCCCGUAGCAGUAUCCUCCAAGCCAUGGUGGCUGUUCCAGGGGACAACAUCAACAGCAGCAGCAUCUGGACCUGACCAUCGAUAGUGUUUCGAGCAACUUUCCAUAUCGGAGAUCUCGUGCUUCGCGCACAUUGAAGAAACCUCCUCAGCCACAUAUGUGUGUCAAGGAAAGGAGAAAAAGGAGCUGGAUUCGAAUCGUCAAUCCAGACAACCCGAAUGCACCGAUUGCAUUAUAUAUCUUGUUUAUAUUUUAUAUGCAUUUUGUGUUUUUUUGAAUAAAAUGAUUAAAAUCGAUCAAUGUUUUUCCUUUUCAUGUUUCAUAACAAACCAAUACAAACAAGAGACGAUCAGUGUUGGAAGCAGCGUUACAUGCAGGUCGACGCCUUGCACAUGUUGGC